CAUCGGUGACAGGUGGUGCAUGGUUGUCGUCAGCUCGUGUCGUGAGAUGUUGGGUUAAGUCCCGCAACGAGCGCAACCCCUAUUGUUAGUUGCCAUCAUUCAGUUGGGCACUCUAGCGAGACUGCCGGUAAUAAACCGGAGGAAGGUGGGGGAUGACGUCAAAUCAUCAUGCCCCUUAUGACCUGGGCUACACACGUGCUACAAUGGUUGGUACAACGAGUUGCGAGUCGGUGACGGCGAGCUAAUCUCUUAAAGCCAAUCUCAGUUCGGAUUGUAGGCUGCAACUCGCCUACAUGAAGUCGGAAUCGCUAGUAAUCGCGGAUCAGCACGCCGCGGUGAAUACGUUCCCGGGCCUU
Molecule: ribosomal RNA, 356 nt
Filed under: uncultured Streptococcus sp.
Lineage: Bacteria; Bacillati; Bacillota; Bacilli; Lactobacillales; Streptococcaceae
Description: bacterial SSU rRNA
Rfam family: Bacterial small subunit ribosomal RNA
Source: RNAcentral